GUAGGAGGCGAGCGUUAUCCGGAUUCACUGGGCGUAAAGCGCGUGCAGGCGGUUUGGUAAGUUGGGCGUGAAAGCUCCCGGCUCAACUGGGAGAGGUCGUUCAAUACUACCAGACUAGAGAGUAGAAGAGGAAGAUGGAAUUCCCGGUGUAGUGGUGAAAUGCGUAGAUAUCGGGAGGAACACCAGUGGCGAAGGCGAUCUUCUGGUCUAUUUCUGACGCUCAGACGCGACAGCUAGGGUAGUAAACGGGAUUAGAGACCCCGGUAAUCCUAGCCGUAAACGAUGUGAACUUGGCGUCGGUGGCUUAAACACCAUCGGUGCCGAAGCAAACGCGAUAAGUUCACCGCCUGGGGACUACGGCCGCAAGGUUA
This 371-nucleotide ribosomal RNA is filed under the name uncultured bacterium. RNAcentral's name for it is "bacterial SSU rRNA". It matches the Rfam family "Bacterial small subunit ribosomal RNA", at positions 527 to 896 of the family's 1533-position model. The record is from RNAcentral.